GAUGAACGCUGGCGGCGUGCUUAACACAUGCAAGUCGAACGGAAAGGCUCCUUCUUGCUGGGGUCCUCGAGUGGAGCACGGGUGAGUAUAACGCGGGUGAUCUGUCCUGCACUUCGGGAUACGACUGGGGAACAGGGUCGCUUAUCGGAUAGGACGAUGGUAUGCAUGAGAUUGUGGAUAGUAUUUUGGUGUGGGAUGAGCUCGCGGUGUAUCAGCUUGUUGGUGGGGUAAUGGCGUACCAAGGCGUCGACACGUAGCCGACAUGAGAGGGAGAUCGGCCACAUUGGGACUGAGACACGGCCCAAACUCCUACGGGAGGCAGCAGUAGGGAAUCUUCGGCAAUGGACGAAAGUCUGACCGAGCAACGCCGCGUGAGUGAAGAAGGUUUUCGGAUCGUAAAACUCUGUUGGUAGAGAAGAACGUUGGUGAGAGUGGAAAGCUCAUCAAGUGACGGUAACUACCCAGAAAGGGACGGCUAACUACGUG
Molecule: ribosomal RNA, 486 nt
Filed under: uncultured bacterium
Lineage: Bacteria
Description: partial 16S ribosomal RNA
Rfam family: Bacterial small subunit ribosomal RNA
Source: RNAcentral